This 745-nucleotide ribosomal RNA is filed under the name uncultured bacterium. RNAcentral's name for it is "bacterial SSU rRNA". It matches the Rfam family "Bacterial small subunit ribosomal RNA", at positions 36 to 786 of the family's 1533-position model. The record is from RNAcentral.
CUGGCGGCGUGCCUAACACAUGCAAGUCGAGCGGAUAAUAUUGAAGAGUAAUCAGAUAUGUAUCUUAGCGGCGGACGGGUGAGUAACGCGUGGGCAACCUGCCUCAAACAGGGGGAUAACACAGGGAAACUUGUGCUAAUACCGCAUAAAAUCAUAGGAGGACAUCCUCUAAUGAUCAAAGGAGAAAUCCGGUGAAGGAUGGGCCCGCGUCUGAUUAGCUAGUUGGUGAGGUAAUGGCUCACAAAGGCGACGAUCAGUAGCCGACCUGAGAGGGUGAUCGGCCACACUGGAACUGAGACACGGUCCAGACUCCUACGGGAGGCAGCAGUGGGGAAUAUUGCGCAAUGGGGGAAACCCUGACGCAGCAACGCCGCGUGGAGGAAGAAGGUCUUCGGAUUGUAAACUCCUGUCUUUGGGGACGAAAAAAAUGACGGUACCCAAGGAGGAAGCCACGGCUAACUACGUGCCAGCAGCCGCGGUAAUACGUAGGUGGCAAGCGUUGUCCGGAAUUAUUGGGCGUAAAGGGCGCGUAGGCGGUACCUUAAGUCAGAUGUGAAAACCCGGGGCUUAACUUCGGAGGUGCAUUUGAAACUGGGGAACUAGAGUGCAGGAGAGGAAAGUGGAAUUCCUAGUGUAGCGGUGAAAUGCGUAGAUAUUAGGAGGAACACCAGUGGCGAAGGCGACUUUCUGGACUGUAACUGACGCUGAGGCGCGAAAGCGUGGGGAGCAAACAGGAUUAGAUACC